AAUAGAUACCCGGGUAGUCCACGCCGUAAACGAUGGAUACUAGCUGUUUGAGCGCAAGUUUGAGUGGCUAAGCGAAAGUGAUAAGUAUCCCACCUGGGGAGUACGGGCGCAAGCCUGAAACUCAAAGGAAUUGACGGGGGGCCCGCACAAGCGGUGGAGCAUGUGGUUUAAUUCGAUGAUACGCGAGGAACCUUACCAGGGCUUAAAUGUAGAUUGACGUAUUUGGAAACAGAUAUUUCUUCGGACAAUUUACAAGGUGCUGCAUGGUUGUCGUCAGCUCGUGCCGUGAGGUGUCAGGUUAAGUCCUAUAACGAGCGCAACCCCUGUUGUUAGUUGCCAGCGAGUAAUGUCGGGAACUCUAGCAAGACUGCCAGUGUAAACUGUGAGGAAGGUGGGGAUGACGUCAAAUCAUCACGGCCCUUACGUCCUGGGCCACACACGUGCUACAAUGGCCGGUACAGAGAGCAGCCACUUAGCGAUAAGGAGCGAAUCUAUAAAGCCGGUCACAGUUCGGAUCGGAGU
Molecule: ribosomal RNA, 522 nt
Filed under: uncultured bacterium
Lineage: Bacteria
Description: bacterial SSU rRNA
Rfam family: Bacterial small subunit ribosomal RNA
Source: RNAcentral